GUUUUUCCAUAAAAAUGUAGAUGAGUCAUGAGGCAAUCAUAUAUCUAUAAGUUUCAAAUCAUCAUCAAGCUCUCUUUCAUGCCCUCAAAAAGAAUUUAUGGCUUAAGUUUGUAUCUAAGUUGUGCAAAUAUUGAGAAACUUGUACGAUUUUCCAGAGUGAGAGAAAACAGCCACUUUUUGAAUCAAGUGAACAUAGUUUUCAAUAGAACUCAUUGUUUUGGUAGAAAUAAACAAUUUUCUAUUUAUUUAUUCUUCAAUCUGUCGGACUUCCUGUUUGCACGAUUCUUAUUCCACUACAACAUAAAG
RNAcentral lists this unclassified non-coding RNA (306 nucleotides) under Hevea brasiliensis (rubber tree). Lineage: Eukaryota; Viridiplantae; Streptophyta; Magnoliopsida; Malpighiales; Euphorbiaceae. The record is from RNAcentral.